Molecule: long non-coding RNA, 440 nt
Filed under: Homo sapiens (human)
Lineage: Eukaryota; Metazoa; Chordata; Mammalia; Primates; Hominidae
Description: non-protein coding lnc-RHOB-13:1
Source: RNAcentral
UAGUGGGGACAGCCCCAGGGGCUCCCCAUCUAGAGAAGCGAUGGAGACAAACUGGCAUCUAUAACAUGCAGCUCCAUGGAUACUUUGCUACACGGCAGACGGGGGUUGCAGGAGCCUUGAAGAUGUGACUCUACCCCGCAUGCAUGGGAGCCGGUGCAGGGGAAAGUUCCUGGAGAAGUUGUGUCCAAGUUGAGACCUAAAGGAUGAGGAGAGCCCUGAGUCACCAUGAAAGAUUUCUGGCCACCCUGCUGAAGAGGCCACAUGGGGAGGCCACAUGGAGAGGAGGAGAGGUCCACUGAUCCAGCAUUUUAGUUGAGCUUCCAGCUGACUCCAGCCUCAAGCUUUAUCUGAAUGCACCUGCAUGAGAGACUUCUAAGCAAGACCAGCAGAAGAUCCACCCGCUGAUCCCAGACAACCCAUGGAACCAUGAGAGAGCCAAU